CCUACGGGGGGCAGCAGUGGGGAAUAUUGGACAAUGGGCGAAAGCCUGAUCCAGCCAUGCCGCGUGUGUGAAGAAGGCCUUCGGGUUGUAAAGCACUUUCAGUGGGGAAGAAAGCCUUGGGGCUAAUACCCUCGAGGAAGGACAUCACCCACAGAAGAAGCACCGGCUAACUCCGUGCCAGCAGCCGCGGUAAUACGGAGGGUGCGAGCGUUAAUCGGAAUUACUGGGCGUAAAGCGCGCGUAGGCGGUCUGAUAAGCCGGUUGUGAAAGCCCCGGGCUCAACCUGGGAACGGCAUCCGGAACUGUCAGGCUAGAGUGCAGGAGAGGAAGGUAGAAUUCCCGGUGUAGCGGUGAAAUGCGUAGAGAUCGGGAGGAAUACCAGUGGCGAAGGCGGCCUUCUGGACUGACACUGACGCUGAGGUGCGAAAGCGUGGGUAGCAAACAGGAUUAGAUACCCCGGUAGUC
This 465-nucleotide ribosomal RNA is filed under the name Vreelandella stevensii. RNAcentral's name for it is "partial 16S ribosomal RNA". It matches the Rfam family "Bacterial small subunit ribosomal RNA", at positions 338 to 795 of the family's 1533-position model. Lineage: Bacteria; Pseudomonadati; Pseudomonadota; Gammaproteobacteria; Oceanospirillales; Halomonadaceae. The record is from RNAcentral.